RNAcentral lists this ribosomal RNA (253 nucleotides) under uncultured bacterium. Its description in RNAcentral is "partial 16S ribosomal RNA". It matches the Rfam family "Bacterial small subunit ribosomal RNA", at positions 524 to 776 of the family's 1533-position model. The record is from RNAcentral.
CACGUAGGGCGCAAGCGUUGUCCGGAAUUAUUGGGCGUAAAGAGCUCGUAGGCGGCCUGUCGCGUCCGCUGUGAAAUCCCGGGGCUUAACCCCGGGCGUGCAGUGGAUACGGGCUGGCUAGAGGCAGGCAGGGGAGAACGGAAUUCCCGGUGUAGCGGUGAAAUGCGCAGAUAUCUGGAGGAACACCGGUGGCGAAGGCGGCGUCCUGGACCAACACUGACACUGAUGAGCGAAAGCCAGGGGAGCAAACGGG